Stylophora pistillata is the source of this 228-nucleotide long non-coding RNA. The record is from RefSeq and is a predicted model, not a curated record. Lineage: Eukaryota; Metazoa; Cnidaria; Anthozoa; Scleractinia; Pocilloporidae.
AGUAAACAAGAUUAUACCCAUCUCAGUAUCGAGAAUCCCUGCAGCAGCAGUCCCUGUUUCAACAAUGGCACAUGUCAAGCUGGAUACACUUAUAAAGGAUUUCGUUGUAAAUGUCCUCUAGGAUUCACUGGUAUAUACUGCAAGAAAGCGUGCAGCUUUGACUUUGAAGAUGGAAUCGGUGGGUGGAAAAUGACAGGAACAGCUUUCAUUUACCAGCCAACAUUUGGU